CCCUCGGUAGCUCAGUUGGAAGAGCGUGGGACUGUAAAGGCUGCUUACGUAAUCCCAAGGCCACUGGUUCGAUCCCGGUCUGAGGGA
Non-coding RNA from Ceratobasidium sp. 394, 87 nucleotides. The record is from the annotation of a GenBank genome assembly. NCBI's taxonomy places the organism in Eukaryota, Fungi, Basidiomycota, Agaricomycetes, Cantharellales, Ceratobasidiaceae.